Molecule: ribosomal RNA, 432 nt
Filed under: uncultured bacterium
Lineage: Bacteria
Description: partial 16S ribosomal RNA
Rfam family: Bacterial small subunit ribosomal RNA
Source: RNAcentral
AACGAACGCUGGCGGCAUGCUUAACACAUGCAAGUCGAGCGAAUCCUUCAGGGUCAUCCUCCUACGACUUAAUAACCCGUGGGAACGUUCCCACUUCUACAGACUACCUUCGAGAAACGGAGAGUAAUGCCGAAUACGACCGCAAACGGAAAGAUUUAUCGGACCACGUUCUGCCCUCGUUGGAUUAGGUAGUUGGUGGGGUAACGGCCUACCAAGCCGACGAUCCAUAGCUGGGUGGAGAGGAUGAUCACCAACACUGGGACUGGUACACGACCCAGACUCUGAGGGGAGGCAGCAGUGGGGAAGCUGGGACAAUGGGGGCAACCUUAAGCCAGCCAGGCCGCGUGAUCGAGUAAGGCGGUAGGGUUGAAAAUAUCUGUCAGCUGGGAAGAUAAGGACGGUACUAGUAGGAGAAGCCCGGGCAAAUUCCGU